CAGUGUUACAACUCUCUUUAGAAUUUGGUCAGCAGGUUUUCUGUCUUAACUGAAAAGCCCAA
This 62-nucleotide small nuclear RNA is filed under the name Aotus nancymaae (Ma's night monkey). RNAcentral describes it as "U7 small nuclear RNA (ENSANAG00000011049.1)". It matches the Rfam family "U7 small nuclear RNA". Rfam says of the family: Animal histone pre-mRNAs are spliced by a different mechanism than nuclear pre-mRNAs and self-splicing introns. This processing involves the U7 snRNP, which contains only one RNA species: U7. Lineage: Eukaryota; Metazoa; Chordata; Mammalia; Primates; Aotidae. The record is from Rfam by way of RNAcentral.